AAAAACUCUGAACUGACUUUGAUCAACAGUUAUGGUUUUGAAUUAGAACCUGAACAGGCCCCUCCCAGCAAGCUGCUCUUGAUGUGAUGCCAUUAUCUCUGCCAGGCAGUAUACAGUACUGUUUCAUCUUCAUUUCACUUCCCUUUUCACACUUCAGUCAGCUCAUGAGAGGCAUCAGUUGGAUCUCCACCUUUCAGUGACAGUCAGGUUGAUCUAAUGUCAGAUCCCAGCGACUUAAAACCCUAAAACUCUGUGAUACAUAGUUUAGACAUUUUUGAGGAAGAGAACAUGAUCAGUUUUCUCUUUUUCUGUUGCCUGUCAGGUUGUUGUCUGGGCCUUGAGGUCCGUCAGUCUACCUCUGAUCUCAUCAAGCAACCUGGUGACAAAGUGCAGAUUUUCUGCAGCCAUGAUAAAACUGACUACAGGACAAUGCUCUGGUACCAGCGGUCACCUGGAGACACAGCUAUGAAACUCAUCGGAUAUUUGAACUACAAGAAUGUCAAAAUGGAAGAGCCAUAUAAUGUGGAUUUUAAUAUCACUGGAGAUUUAGGGGGGAAUACAGCAAAGAAUGGCUCUCUUAUAGUCAACUUUUUAAGACCAAGUCAUAGUGCAGUGUACUACUGUGCAGCUCGAGAAGCACACUGACAAAAAUCCCCUCUGAACUAUACAAAAACUCUUCACCAUCUUUGCUUUGAAUAACACAUGGAAUAAACUGCUCACAGACACCUGCUUUUGUGGUUGCAUUUUGGUUUGAUGCAGUCAUAUCCUCAUUAGCUAAUGAAACUUGGUUUCUCUAUUAUUGGCAUAUUUCUAAUAAAUUUAAUUAUAUAAUUGAAAUAUGUCAAUAGCAAAACAUUUUUGUUGGUGAAUCGGGUUUAAGGAAGAGCGUCGAUAAAUAUCAGUUUUAUAUGCAACUACAUGAAGCCACUCCUCCUUUCUACAUCAUGUUUGCUUCCUACUUAAAUGUGACUGAGUUUAGUGAGAAAGCACAAACAACAGAGACCCUGUCGUCACUUACACGAUGAUUAGAUUCCUCUUCUGCUAUUUCCUCACAGCAGGUAUUUCUCUCGGGGUUCAGAUCCAUCAGUCUCCCUCUGCUGUCAUCAGAAACACCGGUGACAAUGUGCAACUUGUAUGUACUCAUGGACAAAGUGACUACAGAGUGAUGCUGUGGUACCAGCAGUCACCUGGGGACAAGGCUCUGAAACUCAUUGGAUAUGGAUAUACACAAUUCAAAAAUGACAGCGUGGAAGAGCUGUUUAGAAAACACUUCAAAUUAGCUGGAGAUCUGAGUGGAAACAACAAAAAUGGUUCACUUUCCAUAAUCAAUCUGAAAGCACUUGAACACAGCGCAGUGUACUUCUGUGCUGCUAGUAAGCCACAGUGUAUCAAACACCCAUCUGCCCUUGACAAAAACCUCUUCCUC
Long non-coding RNA from Dicentrarchus labrax (European seabass), 1426 nucleotides. RefSeq lists it as uncharacterized. Lineage: Eukaryota; Metazoa; Chordata; Actinopteri; Moronidae. The record is from RefSeq and is a predicted model, not a curated record. The transcript has 3 exons.